GAUGGACGCUGGCGGCGUGCCUAAUACAUGCAAGUCGAGCGAACAGACGAGGAGCUUGCUCCUCUGACGUUAGCGGCGGACGGGUGAGUAACACGUGGAUAACCUACCUAUAAGACUGGGAUAACUUCGGGAAACCGGAGCUAAUACCGUAUAAUAUAUUGAACCGCAUGGUUCAAUAGUGAAAGACGGUUUUGCUGUCACUUAUAGAUGGAUCCGCGCCGCAUUAGCUAGUUGGUAAGGUAACGGCUUACCAAGGCAACGAUGCGUAGCCGACCUGAGAGGGUGAUCGGCCACACUGGAACUGAGACACGGUCCAGACUCCUACGGGAGGCAGCAGUAGGGAAUCUUCCGCAAUGGGCGAAAGCCUGACGGAGCAACGCCGCGUGAGUGAUGAAGGUCUUCGGAUCGUAAAACUCUGUUAUUAGGGAAGAACAAAUGUGUAAGUAACUAUGCACGUCUUGACGGUACCUAAUCAGAAAGCCACGGCUAACUACGUG
RNAcentral lists this ribosomal RNA (497 nucleotides) under uncultured bacterium. Its description in RNAcentral is "partial 16S ribosomal RNA". It matches the Rfam family "Bacterial small subunit ribosomal RNA", at positions 28 to 507 of the family's 1533-position model. The record is from RNAcentral.